GCUCCGGUGGCCUAGUGGUUAGAGCGUCCGCCUCGGAUGCGGGGGGGGGUCGUGGGUUUUAUCCCCGGUCGAAUCA
Molecule: non-coding RNA, 76 nt
Organism: Potamilus streckersoni
Lineage: Eukaryota; Metazoa; Mollusca; Bivalvia; Unionida; Unionidae
Source: the annotation of a GenBank genome assembly